AAGUCUCCUGAAGGAACGUUGAAGACGACGACGUUGAUAGGCCGGGUGUGUAAGCGCAGCGAUGCGUUGAGCUAACCGGUACUAAUGAACCGUGAGGCUUAACCU
RNAcentral lists this ribosomal RNA (105 nucleotides) under Klebsiella sp. GL120222-02. RNAcentral's name for it is "partial 23S ribosomal RNA". It matches the Rfam family "Bacterial large subunit ribosomal RNA", at positions 2820 to 2925 of the family's 2925-position model. Lineage: Bacteria; Pseudomonadati; Pseudomonadota; Gammaproteobacteria; Enterobacterales; Enterobacteriaceae. The record is from RNAcentral.